RNAcentral lists this ribosomal RNA (595 nucleotides) under uncultured bacterium. RNAcentral's name for it is "bacterial SSU rRNA". It matches the Rfam family "Bacterial small subunit ribosomal RNA", at positions 56 to 649 of the family's 1533-position model. The record is from RNAcentral.
UGCAGUCGAACGGUAACAGAACUAGCUUGCUAGUUGCUGACGAGUGGCGGACGGGUGAGUAAUACUUAGGGAUCUGCCUCUGUGUGGGGGAUAACUAUUGGAAACGAUAGCUAAUACCGCAUAACGUCUACGGACCAAAGAGGGCUUCGGCUCUCGCGCAGAGAGGAACCUAAGCGAGAUUAGCUUGUUGGUGAGGUAAAGGCUCACCAAGGCGACGAUCUCUAGCUGUUCUGAGAGGAAGAUCAGCCACACUGGAACUGAGACACGGUCCAGACUCCUACGGGAGGCAGCAGUGGGGAAUAUUGCACAAUGGGGGCAACCCUGAUGCAGCCAUGCCGCGUGUGUGAAGAAGGCCUUCGGGUUGUAAAGCACUUUCAGUUGUGAGGAAAGGUUAGUAGUUAAUACCUGCUAGCUGUGACGUUAACAACAGAAGAAGCACCGGCUAACUCCGUGCCAGCAGCCGCGGUAAUACGGAGGGUGCGAGCGUUAAUCGGAAUUACUGGGCGUAAAGCGCACGCAGGCGGUCUGUUAAGCUAGAUGUGAAAGCCCCGCGCUCAACGUGGGAGGGUCAUUUAGAACUGGCAGACUAGAGUCU